RNAcentral lists this ribosomal RNA (452 nucleotides) under Pseudo-nitzschia turgidula. RNAcentral describes it as "eukaryotic LSU rRNA". It matches the Rfam family "Eukaryotic large subunit ribosomal RNA", at positions 86 to 553 of the family's 3401-position model. Lineage: Eukaryota; Bacillariophyta; Bacillariophyceae; Bacillariales; Bacillariaceae. The record is from RNAcentral.
ACGGCGAGUGAAGCGGGACUAGCUCAGGAUGUGAAUCUGCGCUUUUAAGGCGCCGAAUUGUGGUCUGUAGACUUUGACGUUAUCUGCCGGCCCAAGUUCCUUGGAAAAGGACAGCUGAGAGGGUGAGACUCCCGUCCGGCUGGUAGAAUGAGUCAUGUGUCAACGAGUCGAGUUGUUUGGGAUUGCAGCUCUAAUUUGGUGGUAAAUUCCAUCUAAAGCUAAAUAUUGGUGGGAGACCGAUAGCGUACAAGUACCGUGAGGGAAAGAUGCAAAGAACUUUGAAAAGAGAGUUAAAGAGUACCUGAAAUUGCUGAAACGGAAGCGAAGGAAACCAGUGUUUGUUUGUUCAUAUUUCCCUGGCCACUUGUGGUUUGGGCGCUGUGAGCUUGCGUGGGUUUGCUUUGGUUGAAUCUUUUGGAAGAGCGCAGACAGAGUUGAUGUCUGUUGCUAGC